Molecule: transfer RNA, 74 nt
Filed under: Bremerella sp.
Lineage: Bacteria; Pseudomonadati; Planctomycetota; Planctomycetia; Pirellulales; Pirellulaceae
Also listed under: 2 other names
Description: tRNA-Arg
Rfam family: tRNA
About the family: Transfer RNA (tRNA) molecules are approximately 80 nucleotides in length.
Source: RNAcentral
GUCCCCGUAGCUCAACUGGAUAGAGUGUCGGCCUCCGAAGCCGAAGGUUGCAGGUUCGAACCCCGCCGGGGAUA